Molecule: ribosomal RNA, 465 nt
Filed under: uncultured bacterium
Lineage: Bacteria
Description: partial 16S ribosomal RNA
Rfam family: Bacterial small subunit ribosomal RNA
Source: RNAcentral
CCUACGGGUGGCAGCAGUAGGGAAUCUUCCACAAUGGACGAAAGUCUGAUGGAGCAACGCCGCGUGAGUUCCUCCGGGUUUCGGCUCGUCCCUCUCUUUUGUUAGUGAAGAAAGAUAGAGGUAGUAACUGGCCUUUAUUUGACGGUAAUUACUUAGAAAGUCACGGCUAACUACGUGCCAGCAGCCGCGGUAAUACGUAGGUGGCAAGCGUUGUCCGGAUUUAUUGGGCGUAAAGCGAGUGCAGGCGGUUCAAUAAGUCUGAUGUGAAAGCCUUCGGCUCAACCGGAGAAUUGCAUCAGAAACUGUUGAACUUGAGUGCAGAAGAGGAGAGUGGAACUCCAUGUGUAGCGGUGGAAUGCGUAGAUAUAUGGAAGAACACCAGUGGCGAAGGCGGCUCUCUGGUCUGCAACUGACGCUGAGGCUCGAAAGCAUGGGUAGCGAACAGGAUUAGAUACCCGAGUAGUC